GAUGAAGAACGUAGCGAAAUGCGAUAAGUAAUGUGAAUUGCAGGAUUCAGUGAAUCAUCGAAUCUUUGAACGCACAUUGCGCCCCUUGGUAUUCCGGGGGGCAUGCCUGUUCGAGCGUCAUUACAACCCUCAAGCUCUGCUUGGUCUUGGGCGUCACCGGUCCCCGGUGUGCCUUAAAAUCAGUGGCGGCGCCAUCUGGCUCUAAGCGUAGUACAUACUCUCGCUACAGACGUCCGGUGGAUGCUGGCCAGCAACCCCCAAUUUAUCAAGGUUGACCUCGGAUCAGGUAGGGAUACCCGCUGAACUUAAGCAUAUCAAUAAGCGGAGGA
This 329-nucleotide unclassified non-coding RNA is filed under the name soil metagenome. RNAcentral's name for it is "partial contains 5.8S ribosomal RNA, internal transcribed spacer 2, and large subunit ribosomal RNA". The stretch from base 1 to 120 matches the Rfam family "5.8S ribosomal RNA", at positions 35 to 154 of the family's 154-position model. The record is from RNAcentral.